UAAAAUCUUAUUUAAAAAUUUAAACUGCAAAUUUAAAAUAGAAAAAAUUUCUAAGAUU
This 58-nucleotide transfer RNA is filed under the name Amblyomma hebraeum (bont tick). RNAcentral describes it as "tRNA-Cys". The record is from RNAcentral. Lineage: Eukaryota; Metazoa; Arthropoda; Arachnida; Ixodida; Ixodidae.